GCUGGUGUGGCUCAAUGGCAGAGCAGCUGACUUGUAAUCAGCAGGUUGUAGGUUCGACUCCUAUUACCAGCUCCA
This 75-nucleotide transfer RNA is filed under the name Peptostreptococcaceae bacterium. RNAcentral's name for it is "tRNA-Thr". It matches the Rfam family "tRNA". Rfam says of the family: Transfer RNA (tRNA) molecules are approximately 80 nucleotides in length. The record is from RNAcentral. Lineage: Bacteria; Bacillati; Bacillota; Clostridia; Peptostreptococcales; Peptostreptococcaceae.